Non-coding RNA from Nicotiana tabacum (common tobacco), 556 nucleotides. The record is from RefSeq and is a predicted model, not a curated record. Lineage: Eukaryota; Viridiplantae; Streptophyta; Magnoliopsida; Solanales; Solanaceae.
ACUCCUCUCUGUUUUUCCAAAACAAACUCAUCGAUCUGCCCUAGUCUCAAAACACAAUAGCGCGCAGCUCCUCUGCCUCUAUCAAUCUCUCAAAAAAUUUGUUUUCUCAAAGCAAAGGUUACGAAUUUGUUGAUUUGUGAAUCGAAGUCCUGCCCUAGUUUUCAAACACCGUUUGCGAAUCCAGGUUAUGGCACCUAGUAAGCAAUGGAUGUAACUUGUUGACAAUCGGCUUGAUGAAGCCUACUUAAUCGUGUAAUGAUAUUAAACAAUAUAUGUCCUUUGGGAGUAUCAUCGUGGAAUGAUAUUAAGCAAGAAAAGUUGAAUCACAUGUGGGCAGCUAUUGAGCCUUGUUGAUAUUGCUGGAAAACACAUGAUGAAUUUUGACUCCUUUUGGGGUUUUGAAGAUUGAAGCUACAAGUCAAGAUGCAAGUUUGGAAGAUACACAAACUCAUUAUUAUUUUGCUAAGAAUGUUUUGUAAAACUUGAUAUCAUAGUCUGGCUCAGGAUGUUAGUUAAGUUUUUUGUUAAGGUGUCGAGCAAAUAUUAAAACUAAUAU